UGCGUUUGGGGCUCUAAAAGUACAAACGAA
RNAcentral lists this non-coding RNA (30 nucleotides) under Homo sapiens (human). The record is from RNAcentral. Lineage: Eukaryota; Metazoa; Chordata; Mammalia; Primates; Hominidae.